UACGGAGGGUGCAAGCGUUGUUCGGAUUUAUUGGGCGUAAAGCGAGCGUAGGCGGGCCGGUAGGUCGGAUGUGAAAGCCCUCGGCUCACCCGAGGAAGUGCAUCCGAAACCGCCAGCCUUGAGUGCCGGAGAGGGAAGUGGAAUUCCCGGUGUAGAGGUGAAAUUCGUAGAUAUCGGGAGGAACACCAGUGGCGAAGGCGACUUCCUGGACGGUCACUGACGCUGAUGCUCGAAAGCGUGGGGAGCAAACAGG
RNAcentral lists this ribosomal RNA (253 nucleotides) under uncultured bacterium. RNAcentral describes it as "partial 16S ribosomal RNA". It matches the Rfam family "Bacterial small subunit ribosomal RNA", at positions 524 to 776 of the family's 1533-position model. The record is from RNAcentral.